GACGAACGCUGGCGGCGUGCUUAACACAUGCAAGUCGAACGAAGAGCGAUGGAAGCUUGCUUCUAUCAAUCUUAGUGGCGAACGGGUGAGUAACGCGUAAUCAACCUGCCCUUCAGAGGGGGACAACAGUUGGAAACGACUGCUAAUACCGCAUACGAUCUAAUCUCGGCAUCGAGGAUAGAUGAAAGGUGGCCUCUACAUGUAAGCUACCACUGAAGGAGGGGAUUGCGUCUGAUUAGCUAGUUGGAGGGGUAACGGCCCACCAAGGCGAUGAUCGGUAGCCGGUCUGAGAGGAUGAACGGCCACAUUGGGACUGAGACACGGCCCAGACUCCUACGGGAGGCAGCAGUGGGGAAUCUUCCGCAAUGGACGAAAGUCUGACGGAGCAACGCCGCGUGAGUGAUGACGGCCUUCGGGUUGUAAAGCUCUGUUAAUCGGGACGAAAGGCCUUCUUGCGAAUAGUGAGAAGGAUUGACGGUACCGGAAUAGAAAGCCACGGCUAACUACGUG
Molecule: ribosomal RNA, 510 nt
Filed under: uncultured bacterium
Lineage: Bacteria
Description: partial 16S ribosomal RNA
Rfam family: Bacterial small subunit ribosomal RNA
Source: RNAcentral